RNAcentral lists this ribosomal RNA (400 nucleotides) under uncultured bacterium. RNAcentral's name for it is "partial 16S ribosomal RNA". It matches the Rfam family "Bacterial small subunit ribosomal RNA", at positions 338 to 755 of the family's 1533-position model. The record is from RNAcentral.
CCUACGGGAGGCAGCAGUGGGGAAUAUUGCACAAUGGGGGAAACCCUGAUGCAGCGACGCCGCGUGAAGGAAGAAGUAUUUCGGUAUGUAAACUUCUAGCAGCAGGGAAGAAAAUGACGGUACCUGACUAAGAAGCCCCGGCUAACUACGGGCCAGCAGCCGCGGUAAUACGUAGGGGGCAAGCGUUAUCCGGAUGUACUGGGGGUAAAGGGAGCGUAGGCGGUGCAGCAAGUCAGAAGUGAAAGCCCGGGGCUCAACUCCGGGACUGCUUGUGAAACUGUUGAACUAGAUUGCAGGAGAGGUAAGUGGCAUUCCUCGUGUAGCGGUGACAUGCGUAGAUAUUAGGAGGCACCCCAGUGGCGCAGGCGGCUUACUGGACUGUACCUGCCGCUGCGUCUCG